Molecule: ribosomal RNA, 517 nt
Filed under: uncultured bacterium
Lineage: Bacteria
Description: bacterial SSU rRNA
Rfam family: Bacterial small subunit ribosomal RNA
Source: RNAcentral
AGAGUUGAUCAUGGCUCAGGAUGAACGCUAGCGACAGGCUAACACAUGCAAGUCGAGGGGCAUCACGGGAGUAGCAAUACAACUGGUGGCGACCGGCGCACGGGUGAGUAACGCGUAUGCAACCUACCUAUCAGAGGGGAAUAACCCGGCGAAAGUCGGACUAAUACCGCAUAAAACAGGGGCACCGCAUGGUGAUAUUUGUUAAAGAAAUUCGCUGAUAGAUGGGCAUGCGUUCCAUUAGGUAGUUGGUGAGGUAACGGCUCACCAAGCCGACGAUGGAUAGGGGAACUGAGAGGUUGGUCCCCCACACUGGUACUGAGACACGGACCAGACUCCUACGGGAGGCAGCAGUGAGGAAUAUUGGUCAAUGGGCGGGAGCCUGAACCAGCCAAGUCGCGUGAAGGAAGAAGGAUCUAUGGUUCGUAAACUUCUUUUGCAGGGGAAUAAAGUGCAGGACGUGUCCUGUUUUGUAUGUACCCUGAGAAUAAGGAUCGGCUAACUCCGUGCCAGCCGCCGC